GGGUGUUCGGGUCGAGAUGUGCUGCAUUGUCAUUGUAGGAUUGAAUUGCCCUUAGUAGUGGCGCGUUAGAACCGUAGGAUGUCCUCGACCGCGGGACAGUUAGGCCCAACGAAGGCGUCGAUAGGGGGCUGCAAAGUGUAACUGAGCCAGCAGGCCUGGGGCAUCGAUGCGGCCACUGAUUAGGCUCGAGAUGAAGCAGCAUUGCGCUACUACCUGACGUGAUUGAAUGGAGUCCAAUCCUAAAAGCAACCGUCGUCCUCGACUACAAGAUUAGAUUAUGUAAUGGAAACUGCGACUUAACGGCAACAUUAAAGUAAAAGCAACAACCUCAACAAGAAUCGUGGAAGGCGAGCCAACAUCAUGUGAGAUGUGAAACAUGUCUCAACUGCAGACCACAGAAAACGCUUCGCGGCAUCCAUAAAACAACGAGUAGAAUAUCAAUUACCAACGAGAAGAUAUCGAGUGCGAUUCAUCUAGUCUCAAGAAUGAAUCACAGCUCAAAGGGAAGCCCAAUUCUUCGUCGCGUUUGAUACUCCAUCAGCUUCAGGUCAACCCUCUCUAUUAUGGCAGAGCAUCGAUUGGAAACAGUUUCUUCUUCAAUGGAAAUCUGCUGGAGGAAGGAACUAUGUAUUUUAUAAAUAAUAUUAAGAAGUACGUUGUUAUUAGUUCAUAGUUAUUAGGAUAAUAGUGUAGGGGAUAGGAAUGAACAGCGUUGGUGGUUUUAUAUCCUUAAGCCAAAUCGCAGUUUGAUCGCUUCAACGAUCCGCCCCAAUCUUAGCAAAAAGAAAACCAUGUUAUGCUGCAAACCAUGCGUGUAUGAAACGAUCGCUUCAUCAUCUGCUACAAAAAACGACAACGGCAUUCAAUUGAAUUCAACGACAACAGACAACGUUGUACAACAACAUGACCAUAGAAA
Molecule: long non-coding RNA, 916 nt
Organism: Anopheles darlingi
Lineage: Eukaryota; Metazoa; Arthropoda; Insecta; Diptera; Culicidae
Exons: 3
Source: RefSeq, a predicted model, not a curated record